GAUGAACGCUGGCGGCGUGCCUAAUACAUGCAAGUCGAGCGAACAGACGAGGAGCUUGUUCCUCUGACGUUAGCGGCGGACGGGUGAGUAACACGUGGAUAACCUACCUAUAAGACUGGGAUAACUUCGGGAAACCGGAGCUAAUACCGGAUAAUAUAUUUAACCGCAUGGUUCAAUAGUGAAAGAUGCUUUUGCUGUAACUUAUAGAUGGAUCCGCGUCGCAUUAGCUAGUUGGUAAGGUAACGGCUUACCAAGGCAACGAUGCGUAGCCGACCUGAGAGGGGGAUCGGCCACACGGGAACUAAAACCCGGUCCAGACUCCUACGGGAGGCAGCAGUAGGGAAUCUUCCGCAAUGGGCGAAAGCCUGACGGAGCAACGCCGCGUGAGUGAUGAAGGUCUUCGGAUCGUAAAACUCUGUUAUUAGGGAAGAACAAAUGUGUAAGUAACUAUGCACGUCUUGACGGUACCUAAUCAGAAAGCCACGGCUAACUACGUG
Molecule: ribosomal RNA, 497 nt
Filed under: uncultured bacterium
Lineage: Bacteria
Description: partial 16S ribosomal RNA
Rfam family: Bacterial small subunit ribosomal RNA
Source: RNAcentral